AGAGUUUGAUCCUGGCUCAGAUUGAACGCUGGCGGCAUGCCUUACACAUGCAAGUCGAACGGCAGCACGGGUGCUUGCACCUGGUGGCGAGUGGCGAACGGGUGAGUAAUACAUCGGAACAUGUCCUGUAGUGGGGGAUAGCCCGGCGAAAGCCGGAUUAAUACCGCAUACGAUCUACGGAUGAAAGCGGGGGACCUUCGGGCCUCGCGCUAUAGGGUUGGCCGAUGGCUGAUUAGCUAGUUGGUGGGGUAAAGGCCUACCAAGGCGACGAUCAGUAGCUGGUCUGAGAGGACGACCAGCCACACUGGGACUGAGACACGGCCCAGACUCCUACGGGAGGCAGCAGUGGGGAAUUUUGGACAAUGGGCGAAAGCCUGAUCCAGCAAUGCCGCGUGUGUGAAGAAGGCCUUCGGGUUGUAAAGCACUUUUGUCCGGAAAGAAAUCCUUGGCUCUAAUACAGUCGGGGGAUGACGGUACCGGAAGAAUAAGCACCGGCUAACUACGUGCCAGCAGCCGCGGUAAUACGUAGGGUGCGAGCGUUAAUCGGAAUUACUGGGCGUAAAGCGUGCGCAGGCGGUUUGCUAAGACCGAUGUGAAAUCCCCGGGCUCAACCUGGGAACUGCAUUGGUGACUGGCAGGCUAGAGUAUGGCAGAGGGGGGUAGAAUUCCACGUGUAGCAGUGAAAUGCGUAGAGAUGUGGAGGAAUACCGAUGGCGAAGGCAGCCCCCUGGGCCAAUACUGACGCUCAUGCACGAAAGCGUGGGGAGCAACAGGAUUAGAUACCCUGGUAGUCCACGCCCUAAACGAUGUCAACUAGUUGUUUGGGGAUUCAUUUCCUUAGUAACGUAGC
Molecule: ribosomal RNA, 850 nt
Filed under: marine metagenome
Description: bacterial SSU rRNA
Rfam family: Bacterial small subunit ribosomal RNA
Source: RNAcentral